RNAcentral lists this ribosomal RNA (501 nucleotides) under uncultured bacterium. RNAcentral describes it as "partial 16S ribosomal RNA". It matches the Rfam family "Bacterial small subunit ribosomal RNA", at positions 30 to 523 of the family's 1533-position model. The record is from RNAcentral.
AUUGAACGCUGGCGGCAGGCUUAACACAUGCAAGUCGAGCGGGGAAAAGUAGCUUGCUACUUAACCUAGCGGCGGACGGGUGAGUAAUGCUUAGGAAUCUGCCUAUUAGUGGGGGACAACAUCUCGAAAGGGAUGCUAAUACCGCAUACGUCCUACGGGAGAAAGCAGGGGACCUUCGGGCCUUGCGCUAAUAGAUGAGCCUAAGUCGGAUUAGCUAGUUGGUGGGGUAAAGGCCUACCAAGGCGACGAUCUGUAGCGGGUCUGAGAGGAUGAUCCGCCACACUGGGACUGAGACACGGCCCAGACUCCUACGGGAGGCAGCAGUGGGGAAUAUUGGACAAUGGGGGGAACCCUGUUCCAGCCAUGCCGCGUGUGUGAAGAAGGCCUUUUGGUUGUAAAGCACUUUAAGCGAGGAGGAGGCUACCGAGAUUAAUACUCUUGGAUAGUGGACGUUACUCGCAGAAUAAGCACCGGCUAACUCUGUGCCAGCAGCCGCCGUAA